UUCCGGUUGAUCCUGCCAGACCCCACUGCUAUCGGGAUAGGACUAAGACAUGCUAGUUGAGCGCUUCCAGCCAAAACGGGAGCGCAGCGCACAGCUCAGUAACACGUGGCUAAUCUGCCCUUGGGACCGGAACACCCCCGGGAAACUGGGGCUAAUUCUCGAUAGGUGAAGAACUCUGGAAUGAGUCUUUGCCAAAAAGACGUUUACGUUAUGCUCGUAGGCGUCGCCCAAGGAUGAGGCCGCGACCGAUCAGGUUGUUGGUGAGGUAAUGGCUCACCAAGCCUUUUACCGGUGCGGGCCGUGAGAGCGGGAGCCCGGAGAUGGGCACUGAGACAAGGGCCCAGGCCCUACGGGGCGCAGCAGUCGCGAAAACUUUGCAAUACACGAAAGUGUGACAGGGCUAUCCCGAGUGCCAUCUGCUGAGGAAGGCUUUUACCCAGUCUAGAACGCUGGGGGAAUAAGGAGAGGGCAAGUCUGGUGUCAGCCGCCGCGGUAAUACCAGCUCUCCGAGUGGUGUGGAUGUUUAUUGGGCCUAAAGCAUCCGUAGCUGGCUGAGUUAGUCCCUUGUUAAAUCCACCGAAUUAAUCGUUGGAUUGCGGGGGAUACUGCUCGGCUAGGGGACGAGAGAGGCAGACGGUAUUUCUGGGGUAGGGGUGAAAUCCUAUAAUCCCAGGAGGACCACCAGUGGCGAAGGCUGUCUGCUAGAACGCGCCCGACGGUGAGGGAUGAAAGCUGGGGGAGCGAACCGGAUUAGAUACCCGGGUAGUCCCAGCUGUAAACGAUGCAGACUAGGUGUUUGGACGGCUACGUGCCGUUCUAGUGCCGCAGGGAAGCUGUUAAGUCUGCCGCCUGGGGAGUACGACCGCAAGAUUGAAACUUAAAGGAAUUGGCGGGGGAGCACCACAAGGGGUGAAGCUUGCGGUUUAAUUGGAUUCAACGCCGGG
RNAcentral lists this ribosomal RNA (944 nucleotides) under uncultured archaeon. RNAcentral's name for it is "bacterial SSU rRNA". It matches the Rfam family "Archaeal small subunit ribosomal RNA", at positions 1 to 922 of the family's 1478-position model. The record is from RNAcentral.